Cavia porcellus (domestic guinea pig) is the source of this 1111-nucleotide long non-coding RNA. RefSeq lists it as uncharacterized. The record is from RefSeq and is a predicted model, not a curated record. The transcript has 5 exons. Lineage: Eukaryota; Metazoa; Chordata; Mammalia; Rodentia; Caviidae.
UGGAAACUUGGAGAUUUCAAAUCGCACCAUGGGACAAUGAAGCAAACAUCAGGGACAAAAUUUUUGAUUCUCUGUGUGUUGCAGAGGACAGCUGAACCCAGGUUUUCUUACUGACCUGCAAACAGAUGGAUGGAGCUGGCCGGGAUCCUGUGGGCCACAUCGCAGAGGAAGCUCAUCUUGAACAGUGCGCCCCUGAGUUACGGACAGUCUAGUUGUGGACUGUCACCCACGCGAGUGGACCUCACAUUAGGAGGAUGCGUAGAUGCGGAGAAGUCACGGUGGGAACUGCCGUGUUUGCCGGACACUGUCGCCUUGUGCCGCCGUGUGCUCACUGUGCAGCGCUUGGUCAGAGCCUGUGAUGUCAGCAAGCAGAGGAAAGCCACGCUGCAGAGGAGGCUUGGAGUUUUAUGAUUCUCAUUGCAUAUUUGUGUCAAAGGUGACACAAUGUUACUCUUCCACCAGUUGAGGAAGAUCCCCUUCGUGUGUGCCCAUUUCUUUGUCCAUUCACCUGUGGAUGCACACACAGGCUGGACCCACACCUCAGUGCUGUGAGUUGUGCCUCACCACGCAGAGCGUGUCCUGUCUCUUCCACGCCCUCGCUGACACUUACCUUCUCCGUACUCCACGACGGUUGUGCUGACUGGGCGAGAGGCGCCUGCCUCAGUGUGGUUCUGGUUCUGCGUUUCUCUAAUGGCGAUGACAUUGGUCUCACCCUCCCCUAUUUUUAUUGGUAAUCUGUACUUCUUUUGAGAAGUGUCUGUUCAAUUCGUUUGCCCAUUGUUUUGUUAAAUAAAGCAUAGACAGUGAUCACAUCCAUCCCAGGCAGUUUGUUCCUGUACAGGAUACACCUUGAUUUGUCCCCACCCUCUUCCCUUCCCUGUCCACAAAGCUCAGUUUUCAGGUUACCCUCUUUUUCUCAUUUUUCCUUUCCUUUUUUCUCCCUCCCCACUUUCGUAGUUUCCUGUUUCCUUUUGAACAAUUUCUUCCUAUUUCACAAUAUCUAUUGUGCGUUUUGGUUCUUACAUUUUUAGUGUCUCACUCCAGAGGGAUAAGAGGAUAUUUACCCCUGUGUGUCUGAUUUAUUUCACUUAUGAUUAUGGUCUCAAAGUCC